Molecule: long non-coding RNA, 864 nt
Organism: Manis pentadactyla (Chinese pangolin)
Lineage: Eukaryota; Metazoa; Chordata; Mammalia; Pholidota; Manidae
Exons: 4
Source: RefSeq, a predicted model, not a curated record
CCCUUUUGCAGCCUGAAGGACCAGGGCUUCCUCCCACAGCUUUCUCGGCAAUAUCCGCUGCUCCAUCUCUGCCUCUUCUUGGCUGAGGUCCACAACUACCAAAGCCAGAUAUCUGAAGAAUUAAACGAUACUUCAGGCUCUUCAAGAAUCAGCUGGGGAGCUGACUGGAGUGGACGCUCUCCAUGCUGGGGGGGCAGGGGGGGCCCUUGAGCCUUGUUUGGCGUGGUGCUCCUGUUGACUGAAGAAACUGCUGUCUUACCCCUGUUUCCACGGUCUGACCUGCAGAGUAGCAGCUUGCAAAAGCCCUGAAGACCUUGACUAUCAGGAGUCCGCCAGUUUGAAGAACAAUAAAGAGCAGCAAAUCGCCACCCAUGGUCAGGACAACAGCAGCUCCCACCCGGGGUCCCCGACUCAGACAUGAUCAGUUCCCUUGACAGGAGACUACAAAUGCUGGCAUUGUCAGUCUUUACAACACCCCGAGGAAGAAACUGUUAUUCCUGCUUGCAGAAAAUGAGAUUUAGAAGAGGUGAGUCACUUGCUCCAGGUCUCCCAGCAGUAAAGGGGCAGGGGACAUUGUCUCACCCAAUCCACAGACCCCAUGGCUUUUGAUCUACACCAUGUGGUUUAGCCUCUUCUCUUGACCCCAACAACCAAAACCCAUUAAUGUAACUGGGGGUCCCCAGUACCCCUUUCUCCUCUCCAUGUGGCCUCCUGAUUCCUAAAUGUCUAUUCUGAGGUGCCCUCUACUCUGCUAGACCAUCCAUCCCACUUAGCAGGAACUGUGCACAUCAUGUGGUUUGUAUAUGUUCUUUCAGCAUUGUCAGGUCUUAUUUUAUAAUUUAACUUCUCCUGUGUAUGUUUUCU